Molecule: long non-coding RNA, 917 nt
Organism: Trifolium pratense (red clover)
Lineage: Eukaryota; Viridiplantae; Streptophyta; Magnoliopsida; Fabales; Fabaceae
Exons: 4
Source: RefSeq, a predicted model, not a curated record
AUAUCCAACUGCCAACUUAUACUUUCCUAAGAUUUGUAAGAUUAAGUUGGCAAUAGAGGAAUGGAAGAAGUCCUCCAAUUCAGUUAUUGAGAUGAUGGCCACAAAAAUGAUGGAAAAGUUUCAAAUUUAUUGGAGUGGUGUUCAUGAUAUGAUGGGAGUUGCUGUAGUUUUGGAUCCUACAAAGAAGAUGAUUGUACUUGAUUUCUGGUUUCCUAAGUUAUAUGGCCAAGACUCAGGUGAACAAGCUAGUAGAAUCAAAGAGUUGUGUUAUAGUUUGCUUUAUGAUUAUCAGCAGAUGAGACAUAGAGAUGCACAACCUACCACUCCAUCCAUUGGUACAACUGUUGUUGUUGCUAACGAUGAAGAUGAAUUUUAUGCAUACGUUGCGACGAUUGCAGAAAACACAAGUUCAAGUGUUAAAUAUGAAUUAGAUCAUUAUUUGAAGGAGAGAGUUAUAAAAAAAAAACUCCAGAUUUUGACAUUUUGAAUUGGUGGAAGGUAAAUGGAGUUGUGUAUCCAACACUUCAAGCAAUUGCAAGAGAUGUGUUAGCUAUUCCUAUCUCUACAGUAGCUUCUGAAUCAGCCUUCAGUACUAGUGGUCGAAUAUUGAGUCCUCAUCAUAGUCGACUUAACCGGACUACCGUAGAGGCUUUGAUGUGUGCUAGGAGUUGGCUAUGGGCUGCUGAGAAUGAUGGAACUUCUAAAGUUGCACAAGAAUAUGCUACUAUGUUGAAUGAAAUGGAGUCUGACGAUGAAGCUGAAUUAAUGGAAAGCAGUUUCGGUUACCAUUUUGAAGACUAGAAGUUGUUGUUUCUAUGUUUUAACAUGGUGUGUCUAUUUGAGAGAGCUUGAAGAUGGAAUGCUUGUGUUUGAAUUUUGCUUGGAAGUUGGAAGAACUUAAUUUUAGUUUAGUUGCA